ACCUCCUAAGAGCUUUCCACCUGUCUCCAUUGUGCUAGACGCAUUGUGACUAUGUGACUACGGUCCUGUAUUGCAUGACUAGCAGGUGGACCACAGAAAGACAUUUGUUUCCAACCUAGGACACGCGGAUUCGAUACUACAUGGAGCAAGAGGAUGUUUUCAGAGUGCUUAGUCGGUGUCAGUAGUGGAAAACAACCAUUAGGGUAAGAACACAGAAGAGGAGAAAGCUUGCACGGUCUCUUCACAAGAACGAGGAGAAAGAAGGCAAACAAUAAGUUGGUUGUAACGACUUCUAGCUUGUAAGAAAACGCAAACAAGGCGGAAAGAAUAAAAAGUGGGAAAAAUCAAGAGUGGCAACUCUCUUGUUUAACAAAUAGACGUUGAAGGCCAGACCAGAGCAGCCAUCGUGUGGAAUUACCCAGAAGGCCAAUGAUGUGGAGCUUGCUUUUGGUGGUGGUGUGGGCGCUGUUGUGGAAAGUGGAAGCAGCUGCGACUGGCUACAACUGCACGCGGAGUGGCUCGGAGUGCGGCGCAUUUGGCACGUGCGAUGCAGCGGCAGGGACGUGCAGGUGUAACCAAGGUUACGGUGGCCAUGACUGCAAACUUCGAAUGGACACAGUAGGAGGACCCGCUUGUCUCGCUACUAGCCGCUGUCUCCAUGGAGCCACCUGUUACUCUACCAGUGUGGGCACCGCCUGCUAUUGCCCUUUUGGUUUCUAUGGAGACAUCUGCGAGUUUCACACGGUGUUCCAGGAGUGCUUCGGUGACCGUAUGAUCAUCAACAUAAACCCCUGGUCGCACCUUUACUGGGAUCGUCGGCCUCCAGAGCGCCACUGGUUUCUGUGAUAUUCACCCAGUGGCACACUUACAUACCAGUGGUGCAGCCUUCUUAUCAGACCCGACCAGAAGCCGCUGGGAGGGGUACGCUGCUGACCUGUCUUUCUCCAUGGACCCGUGUGGAGGGUCUCCAUCUAUCAACCGCACGGCAGACGGCACACACUACACUUAUCAGGUGCUCGUACAGUUUGACCAGUUUCGAGUUUCACCUCUGGACGAAGUAAUCACCUUUUCAUGCAGUGUGCACAAUGUGGAACCCACCGGGAGAACGGCCGUUCUUUUUUCUGUCACUGAUGUCUACGGUCAUCAAGCGGCGUCAGCAAAGUUGGGGUCCGUCAUUCGGGUCACAUUCUCCGUUGACCCUAACAGCAUUUUCAGUCACCUGCUAGUCAAGUCGUGUGCUGUGUACGACACCAAUAAGACCCAGUCACGCAAAGUUGUCACCAACUCGUGUGUCGUUCCACCGGUUAGGAGUGAGCCUGGAGGAAAGUGCUGGUGGAAGCAAUGUUCUGACUAUUGUAGUGCACAGAUUCGGCAGAGACCCACAGAUCAAUUUCGAGUGCUCCGUCAAGGUGUGCACACCUGUCGACCUCACCUGCGUUGUGCCAAUUUUCUGCGACACCACACUAGGCCAGACAGGGUUUAGUGGAAUAUUUGACCCUAACAUCAUGCCAGUCGGUCGACGCCGCCGCCGCGACACAAGGAAGCCCAGCAACUCCGAGGCAGUGAUUAAUGUUCGUUUCAGCGCCUUUGAUGUGGAUUCUUCCUAAACACGAAAACUAAAAGGAGGAUUUUGACCAAGAUCGGCCUACUGAGGGAUUUUUGAACUAGUCUGUGAAGUGGUUCUAGACUGCUGUGGAGAAAUUUAACAUGGUUGAUGUCAUGGAAAGGUGCCUCUUGUCCUUCCGCCUAUUAAUAAGGUUAAUGACAUGUAUAUACCUGUAGUAUUAAUUAGCCAUCCCCGCUGGCCUGUUCACCUCUGCCUCGUCCUAUUGUGUCUCUCCGAUCUCUCCCAGGGAUGAGAAGAAGAAGAAGUAUUCAUCUGUUGUUUCAUUUGAUCGCCCUUCUUCGAAAAAAUAAACUAAUAAAGAAAAUUUCCUUUU
Molecule: long non-coding RNA, 1940 nt
Organism: Pomacea canaliculata
Lineage: Eukaryota; Metazoa; Mollusca; Gastropoda; Architaenioglossa; Ampullariidae
Exons: 11
Source: RefSeq, a predicted model, not a curated record